UACAGAGGUGGCAAGCGUUGUUCGGAAUUACUGGGCGUAAGGGGCGCGUAGGCGGCCUUCUAAGUCAGACGUGAAAUCCCCCGGCUUAACCUGGGAACUGCGUCUGAUACUGGGAGGCUAGAGUGCGGGAGAGGGAUGCGGAAUUCCAGGUGUAGCGGUGAAAUGCGUAGAUAUCUGGAGGAACACCGGUGGCGAAGGCGGCAUCCUGGACCGACACUGACGCUGAGGCGCGAAAGCUAGGGUAGCAAACGGG
RNAcentral lists this ribosomal RNA (253 nucleotides) under uncultured bacterium. RNAcentral describes it as "partial 16S ribosomal RNA". It matches the Rfam family "Bacterial small subunit ribosomal RNA", at positions 524 to 776 of the family's 1533-position model. The record is from RNAcentral.